UUCCUAUAUUCUAUGGUGUUCUGUCACCCGA
This 31-nucleotide non-coding RNA is filed under the name Mus musculus (house mouse). Lineage: Eukaryota; Metazoa; Chordata; Mammalia; Rodentia; Muridae. The record is from RNAcentral.